AAAACUAUAGGUUUAGGAAACAUCUCUAUAGUUCAUUACUGAGGAAGUUUCUCGGUGUGUAAAGCACCGUGAGCAGGAGGUGCAACAUUCUCUCCUGAGUGUGAAGCUGGUUCUCCGUGUUGUGUCACUGCAACAGCCAUUUGCCAUUAAUGAUUGUUCUUCCCUUCCUGAGAAAUAGGGAGAGGAUGUAGUCUGAGUGGU
RNAcentral lists this small nucleolar RNA (201 nucleotides) under Microcebus murinus (gray mouse lemur). Its description in RNAcentral is "Small nucleolar RNA U3 (ENSMICG00000024168.3)". It matches the Rfam family "Small nucleolar RNA U3". From Rfam's summary of the family: Small nucleolar RNAs (snoRNAs) are involved in the processing and modification of rRNA in the nucleolus. There are two main classes of snoRNAs: the box C/D class, and the box H/ACA class. Lineage: Eukaryota; Metazoa; Chordata; Mammalia; Primates; Cheirogaleidae. The record is from RNAcentral.